GAGCCCGUAGCUCAGCUGGAUAGAGCAACAGCCUUCUAAGCUGUAGGUCGGACGUUCGAAUCGUCUCGGGCUCGCCA
Molecule: transfer RNA, 77 nt
Filed under: Alphaproteobacteria bacterium RIFCSPHIGHO2_01_FULL_40_8
Lineage: Bacteria; Pseudomonadati; Pseudomonadota; Alphaproteobacteria
Also listed under: 4 other names
Description: tRNA-Arg
Rfam family: tRNA
About the family: Transfer RNA (tRNA) molecules are approximately 80 nucleotides in length. Their secondary structure includes four short double-helical elements and three loops (D, anti-codon, and T loops).
Source: RNAcentral